RNAcentral lists this ribosomal RNA (253 nucleotides) under uncultured bacterium. RNAcentral's name for it is "partial 16S ribosomal RNA". It matches the Rfam family "Bacterial small subunit ribosomal RNA", at positions 524 to 776 of the family's 1533-position model. The record is from RNAcentral.
UACGUAGGGUGCGAGCGUUAAUCGGAAUUACUGGGCGUAAAGCGUGCGCAGGCGGUUCGUUGUGUCUGUGGUGAAAGCCCCGGGCUUAACCUGGGAAUGGCCAUGGAAACUGGCGAGCUGGAGUGUGGCAGAGGGGGGUGGAAUUCCGCGUGUAGCAGUGAAAUGCGUAGAGAUGCGGAGGAACACCGAUGGCGAAGGCAGCCCCCUGGGCUAACACUGACGCUCAGGCACGAAAGCGUGGGGAGCAAACAGG